GCCAGUGUGGUGUAGUGGUUUGAGUAUUAGACUGUGGCUCUGGAGACCAGAGUUCAAUUCCCAGCUUAACCA
Molecule: non-coding RNA, 72 nt
Organism: Phrynosoma platyrhinos (Desert horned lizard)
Lineage: Eukaryota; Metazoa; Chordata; Lepidosauria; Squamata; Phrynosomatidae
Source: the annotation of a GenBank genome assembly